RNAcentral lists this ribosomal RNA (447 nucleotides) under uncultured bacterium. Its description in RNAcentral is "bacterial SSU rRNA". It matches the Rfam family "Bacterial small subunit ribosomal RNA", at positions 355 to 825 of the family's 1533-position model. The record is from RNAcentral.
UGGGGAAUAUUGCACAAUGGGCGAAAGCCUGAUGCAGCAAUGCCGCGUGUGUGAAGAAGGCCUGCGGGUUGUAAAGCACUUUCGGUAGGGAAGAUUAUGACGGUACCUACAGAAGAAGCACCGGCUAACUCCGUGCCAGCAGCCGCGGUAAUACGGAGGGUGCAAGCGUUAAUCGGAAUUACUGGGCGUAAAGCGCGCGUAGGCGGUCUUGUAAGUCGGAUGUGAAAUCCCCGGGCUCAACCUGGGAACUGCAUUCGAUACUGCUCGACUAGAGUAUGGAAGAGGGAAGGGGAAUUCCGGGUGUAGCGGUGAAAUGCGUAGAUAUCCGGAGGAACACCAGUGGCGAAGGCGCCUUCCUGGGCCAAUACUGACGCUGAGGCGCGAAAGCGUGGGGAGCAAACAGGAUUAGAUACCCCCGUAGUCCCUGAGCGGGCUGGCAAGGCGCAU